UGCGGCUGGAUCACCUCCUUUCUAAGGAUUUUAACGGAAUAUAAGACCUCGGGUCUUAUAAACAGAACGUUCCCUGUCUUGUUUAGUUUUGAAGGAUCAUUC
RNAcentral lists this ribosomal RNA (102 nucleotides) under Bacillus sp. I2MY01A. RNAcentral describes it as "partial 16S ribosomal RNA". The record is from RNAcentral. Lineage: Bacteria; Bacillati; Bacillota; Bacilli; Caryophanales; Bacillaceae.